RNAcentral lists this long non-coding RNA (1156 nucleotides) under Panax ginseng (ginseng). RNAcentral's name for it is "long non-coding RNA (PGIN_LNC008563)". The record is from RNAcentral. Lineage: Eukaryota; Viridiplantae; Streptophyta; Magnoliopsida; Apiales; Araliaceae.
ACUCGAUCGAGGAACUUUUUGGUGUUGUUUUAGAUAAGUGGAUAGUGUUAAUUAACUGCAAGACUUUCAAAUUCCAGAGUCAUAAAACUUUUGUUUUAGAGGACCGGAAUGAGUCGAAACACUUGGGGACCAGGUGCCAAGAAAUAUUCUACCUUGUGAACAAAGUGAUAAAAAAAUGCUGAAGAUAGAGGCGAAGAUAAGGUUGAUCAACUAAAUGUCAAAAUGCACAAGGUAGGUUAUCCCUCCCCUAGUGACGUUGUGUUUUUAAGUCGGUAUCGGUGAAUCUAUUAUAUUCUAUAAGGGGAUUGAGGGAUCAAUACAGUGCCGACACGCAGAGAUCCCACAUAUCGAUACUGUAUUAGUCAAUUGAACAAAAUUAAUUUCAUGCUAACUACUCCCGGGAUUGAGCUAGUGUUAUGGGAGGGUGUCAGGACGCUAGUUAUAGCUGGAUCGAUGUAUUAUAUCCAAUAAGAGAUUGAGGUUGGUGUUGGGAAAGGGUGUCAGGGCGCCAGUUAUGCGGGAACUAAGGAAUCCACCUAUUAAUAAAAGAAAAAGAAAAAGAAGACAAGGUUAAUAUUCGAUAAGAUACAAAAGAAGUAGUGUUUUUGUUUGUUUGUUUGUUUUAUUUAGUACCUGUUGCUAUAUACACUUUAGAAUUAUCCAGCAUAUUUAUUUUAUUGAAGAGAAAAAAAAGGUAAAUAUACUACUAGUCUACUACUACUACUACUACACGUACAUGCUCCCAUCAUGAACCCAAAACAUUCAACUUCCUCUUCCUCUUUUUCUUCUUGUUCCGGAGCCAACAACACACAUUCGUUGCGUUGCUGCAACAAAGUCGCCGAGUUUAUGUGCAAUACAUGCCUUUUAUGUGUUUGUUGCCCCCUGGCCAUCUUGUGGUGUUGUAUCAAGUUACCCUGCAAGAUCGGAUGGCGCGUGGCAAGACCCGAGGCUUGUUGUGGAUCCGAGGAUAAGAUUUUCGCAGCUUAUUCCUCAUUUUCGGACAUGGACUCCGAUGAUCAAACGGGGAAGAAAGUAGGCAAAAACUCCAGGAGUUUGUGCUUCUGUUAGAGCUAGCUGUAAACGAACUGGGCUGCUUGCGAGGUAGGAAGCCUUUAAUCCAUUUCGAGGCCUUCAUUUUCGGACAUGGAUUUUUUUU